RNAcentral lists this long non-coding RNA (1302 nucleotides) under Fragaria vesca (wild strawberry). RNAcentral's name for it is "long non-coding RNA (FVES_LNC001291)". Lineage: Eukaryota; Viridiplantae; Streptophyta; Magnoliopsida; Rosales; Rosaceae. The record is from RNAcentral.
CAUGAUAUCUUGCCAAAUCAUAAAAUUGUAUUACCAAUUUAACCAGUGCUAUUUCUUUAAUGAGGUAUAAAAUUUGUGGCCUCGGUCCAUGUAUCAUGCCAUGUAAGUAAAUAAAAAUAUUUUUUUGAUUCCACAUAAUAUCUUGUCAAAUCAUGAUAUUGCAUUACCAAUUUUACCAUUUCAACUUCGUUUUAGAUUUUAAGAAAGGGUGAAUCUAUGAUAUAUAUUAAUGUAUUUUUUUCGAGGAAGGACGUACGGCCUUAUAUUAAGUAACAAAAGAACUUAUAAAUACAUGACUUACCUCAAAAGGGUCACGUAAGAAUCAAGUUAUGAGGCUACCCUAAAGUAACCAAUUGCAAUCGCACGUAAAGAACAAAUCCAGACGAAACAAAAUAAAUCAUAUAGAAAAACAAAGUAAACUAAUUCUAGUAAACUAGCUUAUUAGAAAUCUACAAACUACAAAGACUAAGCAUACGUACAAGACAAGCACAACCCAUAACACAACACAAUGGAAGCUUAGAGAGGCCAAGCAGUCACACCGCCAUAUAUACACGAACCCUACUGAACCCCAAUGAGAUCUUGCCGUGGUCUGCACCACAGAGAUGAACACCCGUGAUCACAACUGUCAUCAACCGCCGCUUCAAACCAGACCAGAAGGAAAGGGAAGACCCUUUAACAACCGGCGAGAUCGAGACCAACAAUCGUACGAUCGACCGCCGCAUAAAUCAGACGAGUUUGAUAUCCUCCUCUUCCUCCUCUCCUACCCGAUUGCUUGAUCUCAAUCGGCAUCCCACAAGCUGCAAGGAUAUAUGCCCGAUCGAAUCUAGCUAUGAUAUUUUAAUGAACUUUAUUUGGUGUGGAAAACAAAAAUUACGUAUUAAUAGUAGCCAUUAAUUAUGUAUAAAUUUAAAAUAUUAUUAUUAUUAUUUUUUUUUUAUGAAGGACGUGAAGUCAUUUUAUUGAUCAAAGAAAAUGUAGAAAUACAUCAUAAACACAAUCCACCCUCACGGGCAACGUGAAAAUGGAAUUAUAUAAAACGACAUAUAUGACAUAAGUUAUCUCUUAAUGAUGUAAACCCUAGAAUAGGCACUAUGAUAUAUAAACAAGAACUGUUAGAAUCAUCUAACUUGAUUGAGAACACCUAAGACCACCCUAUGCAGAAGAGGUUUCCCCAAGGUCCAACUCAACAGGAGAAGCUCUAAUAGUCAUUCUGUCAAUUUUGUCCGUUAGAAUACUUAUAUGGCCAUUAAUGAUAUUGCAAUUUUUAGCGGCCACAUCAACAGUCUAAUGGAGAAAAUUGAC